This 660-nucleotide ribosomal RNA is filed under the name Escherichia coli. RNAcentral's name for it is "partial 23S ribosomal RNA". It matches the Rfam family "Bacterial large subunit ribosomal RNA", at positions 2262 to 2916 of the family's 2925-position model. The record is from RNAcentral. Lineage: Bacteria; Pseudomonadati; Pseudomonadota; Gammaproteobacteria; Enterobacterales; Enterobacteriaceae.
UGGGUAGUUUGACUGGGGCGGUCUCCUCCUAAAGAGUAACGGAGGAGCACGAAGGUUGGCUAAUCCUGGUCGGACAUCAGGAGGUUAGUGCAAUGGCAUAAGCCAGCUUGACUGCGAGCGUGACGGCGCGAGCAGGUGCGAAAGCAGGUCAUAGUGAUCCGGUGGUUCUGAAUGGAAGGGCCAUCGCUCAACGGAUAAAAGGUACUCCGGGGAUAACAGGCUGAUACCGCCCAAGAGUUCAUAUCGACGGCGGUGUUUGGCACCUCGAUGUCGGCUCAUCACAUCCUGGGGCUGAAGUAGGUCCCAAGGGUAUGGCUGUUCGCCAUUUAAAGUGGUACGCGAGCUGGGUUUAGAACGUCGUGAGACAGUUCGGUCCCUAUCUGCCGUGGGCGCUGGAGAACUGAGGGGGGCUGCUCCUAGUACGAGAGGACCGGAGUGGACGCAUCACUGGUGUUCGGGUUGUCAUGCCAAUGGCACUGCCCGGUAGCUAAAUGCGGAAGAGAUAAGUGCUGAAAGCAUCUAAGCACGAAACUUGCCCCGAGAUGAGUUCUCCCUGACUCCUUGAGAGUCCUGAAGGAACGUUGAAGACGACGACGUUGAUAGGCCGGGUGUGUAAGCGCAGCGAUGCGUUGAGCUAACCGGUACUAAUGAACCGUGAGG